CAGCAAAAGUUAUGGUGGCGAUGGUAAUACGAUAGAGGUGGUUGUGACGAUUGAUCUAGUAUCAAUACUAGUGACGGUGGUGGUGAUGAUAGUGUUGGAGACGACGGUGGCAAGGAUGAUAAAAAUGAUAAAAUCAAUGGAGAUAACAAUGAUAAUGGUGGUGAUGGCAUCAAGGAUGGAGAUGUUGGUGGUGGUAGUGAUGGUAAAAAC
RNAcentral lists this long non-coding RNA (210 nucleotides) under Phoenix dactylifera (date palm). RNAcentral describes it as "long non-coding RNA (PDAC_LNC004037)". The record is from RNAcentral. Lineage: Eukaryota; Viridiplantae; Streptophyta; Magnoliopsida; Arecales; Arecaceae.